Molecule: long non-coding RNA, 7622 nt
Organism: Ictalurus punctatus (channel catfish)
Lineage: Eukaryota; Metazoa; Chordata; Actinopteri; Siluriformes; Ictaluridae
Source: Ensembl
AGAGAUGGGAGCUAGAGAGAAAGACAGAUGAAGGGAAGGAAGAGGAGGAUGAAAGAGUGAAGGAAGAAUAGAGGGGGCGAGAGGAGGAAAGAGAGGGAGCUAGAUAGAAAGACCAACAGAGGGACCGAGAGGAAGAGAGCGAGCGAGAGUCCGAGAGAGACCGAGAAGGUGAACGAAAGGAGGAGGAGAGAGGAAAGAGGACGAGAGAGAGAAAUAAGGAGGUAGACGGAUAGGUAGUAGGAAAAGAGAGAGAGAAAGAGGAGGAUGAAAUAAGGAGAGUGAAAGAAUAAUAGAGAGGGCGAGAGGAGGGGAGAGAGAGAGAGAGAGGAGGGGGAGUGGCAGAGAAAGUGAAAGAUGAAGAGAGAGAGAGAGAGAGAGAGAGAAAGGAGGGGUGAGAGAGAGAGAGAGAGAGAGAGAGAGAGAGGGAGGGGAAAAAGUGGACACAAGUGGAGAAAAGUGUAAUCGGAAACCAUCCCUCCUUCUGUCGCUUCCUCAUCUCUCUCGCUCUCUCUCUCUCUCUCUUUCUCUCUCUCAGUAUGGAAUAGCUCAGCUCUUGGCUCACUCGUCUCUCUGAGUGAGUGUGUGUGUGAGUGUGUGGACGUUACUGACUGACCGGGACUCAGCUGCUGGAACUGAAACUCUUCUCAGAGGAGUCGUACUUCAGAGGAUUCAGAAUUCAGGACGAGCCCCGGGGAAGAGUGUGAAGGUCAGAGGUCAUGGGAAGGUCACCAGGGUCGGAGGUUCCUCUCCUCCUCCUCUUCAUCUCCUUCGUCUCCUCUCUCUCUCCGCCGCUGCCCAGAGUCUUCCUCCCCUUUCAAGAUUACCGCCCCCUCCUGGUCUGGAGAGCAUUCAGGCGUAUUAUCAACAACAAAAUAGUACUAAAGAUUCUCGAUGCUGGUUUGGAACUAAACCGUUGUAAAAAAAAGCGCCACGUUUCUCUCGAGCUCGACUGAACUUGGACGAGGCACUUAUCCAAAAGGUCACGUUAAUGACAGCUCAUCAAACGAAGCGUUUAGGAGCGUGCCGGCUGUUCCUGGAUCCGUUAAAGCUUUUUUUUUUUUUUUUUUGGAUAACAAUCUGCCCACAGAUCAGCAAUCCUGAUUCCGUCGUGUGAAUGAAAGGCCAUAUGUGCAGUCUGGAGAAGUGUUUAAAGGAAAUUAAAGAUCCGGGAAAGAACGGAGACGAUGAUGAACCUCAGGGUCUCGGCUAUGUCUCACUUCACUGAGUAAUUAUUAAAACAUGCUGCUUACACACACGGCGUGACCGGAGCGUGCUCGCGUGUCUGUGUGUGUGUGUGUGUGUGUGUGUGUAUGUCUGAGUGUGUGUCUGAGUGUGUCAUGACUGAUUCAGAAGUGGCUUUCAGAAGUUUAGUUUUGUUUUAAUCAUCAUUGCUUAUCCCAGGAGGGGUUUGGGGUUGAAACGAUUGAAAUGAUUUUGUGUGUGUUGGUGAAGGGCAGGGUCACCGGCCAGGCAGCUGUCCCAUGAGGAUGGGGACACCUAUCAGGUAGCUCAUCAGGGCGUGGCCCAAUCAGUCCAUCAGGGCAUGGCUACAUCUUAAUCAGUCCUUCAGGGCGGGGCUACAGCUUAAUCAGUCCAUCAGGGCGGGGCUACAGCUUAAUCAGUCCAUCAGACUGUGACCACAGAUUAAUCAGUCCAUCAGGGCGUGGCUAAAGAUGAAUCAGUCUGUCAGGGUGUGGCUACAGCUUAAUCAGUCUAUUGGGGCGUGGCUACAGAUUAAUCAGUCUAUCAGGGUGUGGCUACAGAUUAAUCAGUCUAUCAGGGCGUGGCUACAGAUUAAUCAGUCUAUCAGGGCGUGGCUACAGAUUAAUCAGUCUAUCAGGGCGUGGCUACAGAUUAAUCAGUCUAUCAGGGCGUGGCUACAGAUUAAUCAGUCUAUCAGGGCAUGGCUACAGAUUAAUCAGUCUAUCAGGGCGUGGCUACAGCUUAAUCAGUUAUCAGGGCGUGACGACAUCUUAAACAGUCAGUCAGGGCGAGACUACAGCUUAAUCAGUCUAUCAGGGCGUGGCUACAGAUUAAUCAUAAACCAUAAUGAACUUUCUUUCACUCUCACACUAUCCGUCGUUACCCAGACGAAGACGGGUUUCCUCCUGAGUCCGGUUCCUCUCAAGGUUUCUUCCUCAUAUCAUCUCAGGGAGUUUUUCCUCACCACCGUCACCACCGUCUCGCUCAAUAGGGAUAAACUCCAUCCAUCCAUCCAUCCAUCCACACUUACAAUCUCUAUCCUGUGUUUAUAUAUUUCUGUAAAGCUGCUUUAAGACAACGUCCUUUGUAAAAAGCACUACACAAAUAAAACUGAAUUGAAUUGAAUCAGAAUCUGUAGUGUACUAAUUAAAUAUUUGAAUAAAUAUUAAUUAUGUAUCACUUUGGUUAUUAUAAGAACCUAAAGGGGAUAGGUGUUAGAUAUAGAUGUUUACCGAAGUAGAAAUAAUUGACAUGCUAAUUUAUACGUUAACUGAUAAUCCAGAUGAUAGCUCCCAGUUCAUUUAUAUGAUCGUUUCCUUUACAUUGUAGAUCUUGGAUUUAGUUUUAAUCGUGAUUUAAAGUCCCGCCGUUAAUCUCGUUAUGAUUCGGGUUUAUGCUCGAAAUCAUUUUAUCGUGUCAAACAGAGAUCUCAUGGCUGUAGCAGACGUGUGCCAUAUAUCUUCCAGUAGGAGGUCUGCGGUAGUUCAUUCCAUUUGGAAACCCCGUCUCUCUGCUAUUAAACUGAUUCUGGGACCUUCUGUGGAAAGCGUGGUGGAGCUUCUGGAUCUUUUCCAGCUCGUAAAACUGGAGAAAGUGUGGAGCAGUGACUUUUAAGGCAGGUGAUUCAGUCGUUGUCCCAUGCUGUGGAGAGAGAUUUCCUCCAGCUCGUAAAAAGAGAGUGAUGAAAGGAAGGAGAGGUGCGGUGAGGAAAGGUGACGAGGUGUCAGGUGGGCCAGCACCUGCAGGGAAAACUUAGGAAAGUUCAAUUCAGUAGUUAGGAACGUUCGAAAUUGUCAUAAUAUUUCCAAAAAGUGGUUGAUUACCCUAAUGUGUUCACCUGUUCUGUGUUAAGCCUUUCAUUAGAUCAUCCAAAUCCAUCGUUCCCUUCCUGUUCUUUGACCUACACGAUGGACUACAAUGUUGAUUUGUGGACUCGCCCAAACACGCACUCGCGUCCUGCCUCUACCCGCACGAUACAGGAAUGCGUCAAUUUUCUAUCGUAUUAAAUUUAAUUGUGCUGUGAGUGUUUAAUUACAGUCCCCUGUGGGCGUGACAGCAGUAAAAGUUAAUGUCGUGCUUCUUGAGAGUACACUGUACAUGUUUUUGCUUCUGCUUCUCGUUGGGGCUUUUUCUUUUGUCUUUCCUUUUUUUUGUCCGCUGGUUACUGGUCAUGACGGUGAGCGUGAGCGGCAGAUUUCCCCGGGUGUAAUUCGUGUAUGCCUGGAUCGAGUGCAGCAGCUGAUCUAUUCUGUUGUACUGUUACUUGCAUCAAUGGCAGGGAUUUUGGUGCUAUGGUUCUGAGCCGUCUCGUGGCUCGGCCCUCUGCUCAUCUGUCCGUGCUUGCUUUGUGAAGCUCUUGUGGAUUCUGGGGAUAAAUGGAUCAUUCCAUGGAUCAGAGCGGUGGUUCCCGGUGGUGCCUGGUGAUGUCCAGUGGUGCCCAUUAGUGUGCAGUGAUGCCCAGUGUUGCCUGUUGGUGCCCAGUGUUGCUGUUGGUGUCCAGUGAUGCCUGCUUGUGUCCAGUGGUGCCCAGUGUUGCCUCUUGGUGUCCAAUGAUGCCUGUUGGUGUCCAGUGAUGCCCAGUGUUGCCUGUUGGUGUCCAGUGUUGCCUGCUGGUGUCCAGUGUUGUCUGUUGGUGUCCAGUGGUGUCCAGUGUUGCCUGCUGGUGUCCAGUGAUGCCUGCUGGUGUCCAGUGAUGCCUGCUGGUGUCCAGUGUUGUCUGUUGGUGUCCAGUGUUGUCUGUUGGAGUCCAGUGUUACCUGUUGGUGUCCAGUGGUGUCUGUUGGUGUCCAGUGGUGCCCAGUGGUGCCUGUUGGUGUCCAGUGUUGUCUGUUGGUGUCCAGUGAUGUGCAGUGUUGCCUGUUGGUGUCCAGUGUUGUCUGUUGGUGUCCAGUGGUGCCCAGUGGUGCCUGUUGGUGUCCAGUGUUGUCUGUUGGUGUCCAGUGGUGCCCAGUGUUGCCUGUUGGUGUCCAGUGAUGUGCGGUGUUGCCUGUUGGUGUCCAGUGUUGUCUGUUGGUGUCCAGUGAUGUGCAGUGUUGCCUGUUGGUGUCCAGUGUUGUUUGUUGGUGUCUAGUGAUGCCCAGUGUUGCCUGUUGGUGUCCAUUAUUGCCUGUUGGUUUCUAAUGAUGCCCAGUGGUGCCCAGUGUUGUCUGUUGGUGUCCAGUGAUGCCUGGUGGUGUCCAGUGAAAUUAUUGCACAUGUACUGUAUUUUAUUGAUACAAAUGCAAACGUAAGCCAUAAAGGAAAGCUGUACCAUUUGAUUUGUUUAAUUCUAUAUCUAAUUGUUGAGCUGAAGGUUUUUCUGUGGUUGUUAUUCUGAGAGGGAUUUCAUUGUAACUAAUAUGAAUGCUGGCACACACACUUCACUUACUGUACACUGUAAUAUAGAUUAUGUGUGUGUGUGUGUGUGUGUGUGUGUGUGUGUGUGUGUGUGCGUGCGGUGAGGUCUGGCUUUACAUUUCCAGCUGAAUCAUAGCGUUUACUGCUCCUGAGGUUUGGUUUGCCCCGUGUGGUAAAAGCAAAGUUCAGCCUUCAAACGCUUUAGUGGAAAUUCUUGGCAUGUUUUGAAGCCUGGAGAGAGAGAGAGAGAGAGAGAGAGAGAGGAGAGAGAGAGAGAGAGGAGAGAAAACAACAUCUGAUUUUUAUCUUAAUGACGGUCCAAAAAACUCCAUGUGAGCGUUUAUCCAGACCCGGUCGUGGAGAAGCAGAGAAGGUAAAACAUUCCUCAGAUUCCUCGGUGUGGAGAUCCAGUCUCUGUCGGCGCUUUACAUCUCACCUCACUGCGGUUAAUUAUAUUUCUGUUGUUGAUUAGAGUUUUAUAAGAUUAUAUUCAGCAUACAAGGAUCAUCAGAGGCCUUGUUUUUCACCGGGUUUUCCAUUGUACAUUCCCACCUCGAGAGUGUUCCUGCUAUCUCUAAUGUUAAAUAAACAUGGGAGCACAAGACUUCUAUGCUUCUGCUUUUAUAUAUAUAUAAAACUUUGUUUUUUAAAGCUAAAACUUUAUGUUUUGCUUGUAAAUACAACUACAGAAUGCCAUUUUGGGCCAAACUUAAACACAAAUAAAGCACUUGUAAUUCGCGGUGCGAGAGUCAAAUAUGCAGAUGACGUCAGACGAUCAGUUAAAACACAAAACCAGGACGCGGAUCUAAAAAAAAAAAACAACAGCAACAAGGCACUAUGAAGAACAAGACUUAUAGACUCAUGAAUACAACGGACAGGAAACAAAAAGACAAGGGUGCAAGUAGGCAAAGUAAUGAAGAAAACAGGUGCACACAAUCAGGUAACGAGCAAACUAUGGACCAGGAGGCGGAGACAGGACCAAAACCAAAACCGAAAGUCAGGAUGGUAUCCUCAACAAGUUCACGUCACGUGAUAUCAACAUGGCCAUUCUCACCAUCAACAAUAAAAAAAAAUAUCACUGCUCUGACUGUAAAUGAGAUUAUAGUAGUAUAAUCUCAUCGUGGCUCAGGUGGUAGAGCGGGUUGUCCACUAAUCCUAGGGUUGGCAGUUUGAUUCCCGGCCCAUAUGACUCUACAUGAAUCUACUUGACUCCACAUGACUCCGCGUGACUCCUCGUGACUCCCCGUGACUCCGCAUGACUUCGCAUGACUCCGCAUGACUUUGCAUGACUCCUCAUGACUUCGCAUGAAUCUGCAUGACUUCGCAGGACUCCUCAUUACUCCGCAUGACUCCUCAUGACUUCGCAUGAAUCUGCAUGACUUCGCAGGACUCCUCAUGACUCCGCAUGACUCCGCAUGACUCCUCAUGACUUCGCAUGAAUCUGCAUGACUUCGCAUGACUCCGCAUGACUUCGCAUGACUCCUCAUGACUUCGCAUGAAUCUGCAUGACUUCGCAGGACUCCUCAUGACUCCGCAUGACUCCGCAUGACUCCGCAUGAGUUCACAUGACUCCACAUGACUCCACAUGGCUCCUCAUGACUCACUGAACCUCAAGUUUCUCCCAAUGGCAUGCUAGCACCUUGCGUGGCAGCUCUGCUAAGGUUAAAAAAGCGCUAUACGAGUGCCGACCAUUUACCAUUUGCAUUAGAUCAUAAACAUACACACAUUCAUGGGUUAAAUCUAUAACACAGUUCUUAGAAUCUAAACCCAUCACUAAUCUGACAAACAUUAGCUGGCUAAUUUAACGUUCCGUAAUCCUGAAAGGCUCUAAAGCACAGCCAGCCUUCCUCACACACACUCCCACACUCCUGCCUCCUCCCUCUGUGGGUCAGACGGAAACGAUGCGCCCUUCUCAGUGCCCUGUUGAUUUAUUACGGCUCGUCAGAAAUCUGCUUCGCUAGUCAUUCUGACCUGAGCUCAGGAGCGCAGUGGGGACUCCCGCGGGUAUGCGGCUUCACGACUGUUUGACGUCCGAUCUCUGCAAAGCAUCCUGCGGUCUGAUGAAAUGCAGACGAAGCGUUUUUCCAUGCGGAAGAUGCCAGAAGUCUUAGCGAGAGCUUCUCUGGAGCUCCUGCGUUUAAUGAUGAGAGGAAACACUGACACCGUGAACUAUAAUAAGUUGAUUUAAAUUUAGGACAAAAAAGCAGGGAAUGUUCCGGAAGAGGCAUAAGGAAAGAAUGUUCAUUUGUUUUCAGGUUUCUAACGGCGACUCGUAUCGGGUAUUUCAGACCAAGCUGUGUUUAAAUGUCCACCACAGUGUAGAAAAUUACACCUCAAGAAAACAAGACAUCUCCUUGUCCGUGUUGUUUCUUCUUUUUGCUUUGUCAUCAUGAGUGAGUCAGGGUGGGUUUUUUUUGCACAAUGUUCGAGGUUCCUAGGUGCAAAAUGUAAAUGGUCUGCACUUAUAUAGCUCUUUCUUUACCUUUGCGGUGCUACAAAGCGUUUUACACUGGUUCUCAUUCACACACACACCAAUGGUAGCAGAACUGCCAUGCAAGGCGCUGGCUUGCUAUCGGGAGCAACUUGGGUUCAGGGAGUCGUGUGGAGUCGUGUGGAGUCGUGUGGAAUCGUGGUGGAGUCCUGUGGAGUCGUGUGGAGUCCCGUGGAGUCGUGUGGAGUCGUGUGGAGUCGUGUGGAGUCGUGUGGAGUCCCGUGGAGUCGUGUGGAGUCGUUGUGGAGUCGUGUGGAGUCCCGUGGAGUCGUGUGGAGUCGUGUGGAGUCCUGUGGAGUCGUGUGGAGUCCCAUGGAGUCGUGUGGAGUCCCGUGGAGUCCCGUGGAGUCGUGUGGAGUCCCGUGGAGUCCCGUGGAGUCCCGUGGAGUCGUGUGGAGUCCUGUGGAGUCGUGUGGAGUCGUGUGGAGUCCUGUGGGCUGGGAAUCCAACCGCCAACCCUACGAUUAGUGGACAACCCGCUCUACCACCUGAGCCACAGUUGAGGGCGGUUACUUACUGAACUACGCACAGGUGAUUUUAAUAAUCUGAAUGUGGAGCUUAAGCAUGUGCGUAACCCGACUCUGAAUACCAG